UACGGGCAUAUCACACUAAAACACCAGUCCUCGUCCAAUCACCGAAGUUAAUCAACGUUGAAUCUGGUCAGUACUCAGAUGGGUGAUCGCUAGGGAAUACAAGGUGCUGUAA
Non-coding RNA from Acanthosepion pharaonis, 112 nucleotides. NCBI's taxonomy places the organism in Eukaryota, Metazoa, Mollusca, Cephalopoda, Sepiida, Sepiidae. The record is from the annotation of a GenBank genome assembly.